UCUAAUAUGGCAGAAUAGUGCAAUGAAUUUAAGAUUCAAAUAUAAGAGAAAACUCUUUAUUAGAA
RNAcentral lists this transfer RNA (65 nucleotides) under Pilophorus typicus. RNAcentral's name for it is "tRNA-Leu". The record is from RNAcentral. Lineage: Eukaryota; Metazoa; Arthropoda; Insecta; Hemiptera; Miridae.